UACGUAGGGUGCAAGCGUUGUCCGGAAUUAUUGGGCGUAAAGAGCUCGUAGGCGGUUUGUCGCGUCGAAUGUGAAAACCCGGGGCUCAACCCCGGGCCUGCAUUCGAUACGGGCAGACUAGAGUUCGGUAGGGGAGUCUGGAAUUCCUGGUGUAGCGGUGAAAUGCGCAGAUAUCAGGAGGAACACCGGUGGCGAAGGCGGGACUCUGGGCCGAUACUGACGCUGAGGAGCGAAAGCAUGGGUAGCGAACAGG
Molecule: ribosomal RNA, 253 nt
Filed under: uncultured bacterium
Lineage: Bacteria
Description: partial 16S ribosomal RNA
Rfam family: Bacterial small subunit ribosomal RNA
Source: RNAcentral